GGUAUCUACCUUCCGGCGGGGGACAACAGUCGGAAAGGAUUGCUAAUCGCGCAUACGUCAGCGGCGCCUACGGGCGCUGUUGGAAAAGAUGGCCUCUCCUUGGAAGCUGUCACCGGAAGAUGAGCCCGCGUCCCAUCAGCUAGUUGGUGAGGUAACGGCUCACCAAGGCUUAGACGGGUAGCUGGUCUGAGAGGAUGAUCAGCCACACUGGACUGCGACACGGCCCAGACUCCUACGGGAGGCAGCAGUGGGGAAUUUGGGCAAUGGGCGAAAGCCUGCCCAGCCACGGCCGCGUGAGUGAUGAAGGCCUUCGGGUCGUAAAGCUCUGUGGGGAGGGACGAACAAGCUCGGUGUUAAUAACACCGGGCCCUGACGGUACCUCCUUAGCAAGCACCGGCUAACCCUGUGCCAGCAGCCGCGGUAAUACAGGGGGUGCAAACGUUGCUCGGAAUCAUUGGGCGUAAAGCGCACGUAGGCGGUUCGUUAUGUCGGAUGUGAAAGCCCUUGGCUUAACCGAGGAAGUGCAUCCGAAACUGGCGAGCUAGAGUACUAAAGAGGAUCGCGGAAUUCCCGGUGUAGAGGUGAAAUUCGUAGAU
RNAcentral lists this ribosomal RNA (596 nucleotides) under uncultured bacterium. RNAcentral describes it as "bacterial SSU rRNA". It matches the Rfam family "Bacterial small subunit ribosomal RNA", at positions 120 to 695 of the family's 1533-position model. The record is from RNAcentral.